RNAcentral lists this long non-coding RNA (210 nucleotides) under Lathyrus oleraceus (garden pea). RNAcentral describes it as "Pisum sativum (pea) long non-coding RNA (PSAT_LNC030874)". Lineage: Eukaryota; Viridiplantae; Streptophyta; Magnoliopsida; Fabales; Fabaceae. The record is from RNAcentral.
CAAUGGACAGUAACUUAACAGAUCCUAACAACAAACUAACAAACUCAUCUAACUAAUUCUUAACAGAUAAUUAACAGUAAGUUAAUUUCUAACUGGUUUGAACUAGCAAGAUUUAACAAAGUUAAUCUCUGUUAAAUCCAUCCCCUAUAUAUUCUCGAAUCAUCACUUUCAGAGCAAAAAACUUCUACACAAAACCUUCAUAGAUCAUUG